GGGGGCGUAGCUCAGCUGGUUAGAGUGCAUGCCUGUCACGCAUGAGGUCGCGGGUUCGAUACCCGUCGUCCCCGCCA
This 77-nucleotide transfer RNA is filed under the name Candidatus Gastranaerophilales bacterium. Its description in RNAcentral is "tRNA-Asp". It matches the Rfam family "tRNA". From Rfam's summary of the family: Transfer RNA (tRNA) molecules are approximately 80 nucleotides in length. Their secondary structure includes four short double-helical elements and three loops (D, anti-codon, and T loops). Lineage: Bacteria; Bacillati; Candidatus Melainabacteria; Candidatus Gastranaerophilales. The record is from RNAcentral. RNAcentral also lists the same sequence under 1 other name.